Molecule: ribosomal RNA, 253 nt
Filed under: uncultured bacterium
Lineage: Bacteria
Description: partial 16S ribosomal RNA
Rfam family: Bacterial small subunit ribosomal RNA
Source: RNAcentral
UACGUAGGUGGCAAGCGUUAUCCGGAAUUACUGGGCGUAAAGCGCACGCAGGCGGUCUUUUAAGUUUGACGUGAAAGCUCCCGGCUUAACUGGGAGAGGUCGUUGAAGACUGGAAGACUUGAGGCAAUGAGAGGGGUGUAGAAUUCCCGGUGUAGUGGUGGAAUGCGUAGAUAUCGGGGGGAAUACCAGUGGCGAAAGCGGCACCCUAGCGUUAGCCUGACGCUCAUGUGCGAAAGCGUGGGGAGCGAUCCGG